ACUCCUACGGGAGGCAGCAGUGGGGAAUAUUGCACAAUGGGCGCAAGCCUGAUGCAGCCAUGCCGCGUGUGUGAAGAAGGCCUUCGGGUUGUAAAAGCACUUUUCAGUCGUGAGGAAGGUAGUGUAGUUAAUAGCUGCAUUAUUUGACGUUAGCGACAGAAGAACACCGGCUAACUACGUGCCAGCAGCCGCGGUAAUACGUAGGGUGCAAGCGUUAUCCGGAAUUAUUGGGCGUAAAGAGCUCGUAGGCGGUUUGUCGCGUCUGUCGUGAAAGUCCGGGGCUCAACUCCGGAUCUGCGGUGGGUACGGGCAGACUAGAGUGAUGUAGGGGAGACUGGAAUUCCUGGUGUAGCGGUGGAAGUGCGCAGAUAUCAGGAGGAACACCGAUGGCGAAGGCAGGUCUCUGGGCAUUAACUGACGCUGAGGAGCGAAAGCAUGGGGAGCGAACAGGAUUAGAUACCCUGGUAGGCUCU
RNAcentral lists this ribosomal RNA (473 nucleotides) under uncultured bacterium. RNAcentral describes it as "bacterial SSU rRNA". It matches the Rfam family "Bacterial small subunit ribosomal RNA", at positions 335 to 798 of the family's 1533-position model. The record is from RNAcentral.